This 73-nucleotide transfer RNA is filed under the name Candidatus Woesearchaeota archaeon. RNAcentral describes it as "tRNA-Arg". It matches the Rfam family "tRNA". From Rfam's summary of the family: Transfer RNA (tRNA) molecules are approximately 80 nucleotides in length. Their secondary structure includes four short double-helical elements and three loops (D, anti-codon, and T loops). Lineage: Archaea; Nanobdellati; Candidatus Woesearchaeota. RNAcentral also lists the same sequence under 1 other name. The record is from RNAcentral.
GGGCCUAUAGUCUAAUGGAUCAGGACACUUCGCUUCGGACGAAGAAAUCGGGGUUCGAAUCCUCGUAGGCCCA